Molecule: unclassified non-coding RNA, 674 nt
Filed under: Bradyrhizobium sp. STM 3052
Lineage: Bacteria; Pseudomonadati; Pseudomonadota; Alphaproteobacteria; Hyphomicrobiales; Nitrobacteraceae
Description: partial 16S-23S ribosomal RNA intergenic spacer
Rfam family: Bacterial large subunit ribosomal RNA (bases 554-674)
Source: RNAcentral
AUUGGUUAGAGCGCGCGCUUGAUAAGCGUGAGGUCGGAAGUUCAAGUCUUCCCAGGCCCACCACUUUCAUCGAGUGAGCAUUCGUCUUCUGGUUACGGGGCCAUAGCUCAGCUGGGAGAGCGCGUGCUUUGCAAGCAUGAGGUCGUCGGUUCGAUCCCGUCUGGCUCCACCAGAUGGUUUGAUCACCGAGAUCAUGUACCGUCGUCCGCGAAACAUCACUUCGCAUUCACUAGUCUGGAUAGACAGUGAACUGCGUGUUUUCUGACAUCGUAAAGAGGAGAUCGAUCCGAGUUGGGUCGUGCAGCAUAUCGUUGCGCGGGCCUUCAUUAUCUCCGGAUCAUUUCGGCGCUCGCUUUCAGCCGUGAGGUUGAAUGCGGGUUGUAAAUGAUCCUUUUAGCGAAGCUUGACCGCCUCGCUAUCGGAACGAUCUUACGAAGCAAGCUGGUCUUUCUAGUCAAUGUCCGGCUGUACGUAGCAUUCAUCGAGGGUGCGUGCCGCAAGGCAAUCGUACGGACAACAUUCUGCCGAGUGUGUGGACAUUGAUAAUGAGAGCAAUCAAGUGCCUUAAGGGUGUUCGGUGGAUGCCUUGGCGCUGAGAGGCGAUGAAGGACGUGCUACGCUGCGAUAAGCCGUGGGGAGCUGCGAAGAAGCUUUGAUCCGCGGAUUUCCGAAUG